RNAcentral lists this small RNA (27 nucleotides) under Bombyx mori (domestic silkworm). Its description in RNAcentral is "ovarian small RNA-27989". Lineage: Eukaryota; Metazoa; Arthropoda; Insecta; Lepidoptera; Bombycidae. The record is from RNAcentral.
UCCUGUGUAUACCAUGAUGUUCAGGAC